GCGCCUGUGGCUCAGAGAAGUAGGGCGCUGGCCCCAUAUGCCAGAGGUAGCAGGUUCAAACCCAGCCCCGGGCA
RNAcentral lists this transfer RNA (74 nucleotides) under Otolemur garnettii (small-eared galago). It matches the Rfam family "tRNA". From Rfam's summary of the family: Transfer RNA (tRNA) molecules are approximately 80 nucleotides in length. Lineage: Eukaryota; Metazoa; Chordata; Mammalia; Primates; Galagidae. The record is from Rfam by way of RNAcentral.